This is a long non-coding RNA of Xenopus tropicalis (tropical clawed frog), 456 nucleotides long. RefSeq lists it as uncharacterized. The transcript has 3 exons. The record is from RefSeq and is a predicted model, not a curated record. NCBI's taxonomy places the organism in Eukaryota, Metazoa, Chordata, Amphibia, Anura, Pipidae.
GCGCGAGGGAGGAGCUAGUGCGGGCGCAGAAGAGCGCACUAACAGCCGCAGGGUGAAGUAUUGUACCGCGUGAGGUGGAAGGGACUCUGAAGGGGACACCUGGGAGCCCGAAGCCCAUCUUGAUGACUGUAAGGAAGUCCUGCUUGAAUUUCGGAGGAAACAGGCCGAAAACAAACAGAAACCUGUCAAGAAGGAAAUGCCGGAAAAAGAAGGUAGAAAAACAGACACAGGAAAAGAGAAAACCAGGAAGAAACAGGAGUCUGAAAAGAAGGGAAAAAAGAACAGAAGGGGGUAAAGAGUGAGUGUGCUUGGAUUUGCUGAAAUCUAUAUUUAUUCCUACAUAUAGUUGUUAGUGCCCUGCACAACACAGAAAUCCCUGAUAUCCCUAUCUCUGUAAUCUGUUUAUUCAAAAAAGUAGGAAUAAAUCCCAUGUUUAUAUGCUGAAAUCCAGCUGCA